UCGUAAGUUGAGGACUACCUGUAUACUGGCAGACAUCCAAACGCAUAUCCCACAAACCUUGCAGUGAUGGGGAAAGGAAGGGAAAGACGGAUGAAGAGGCAAAGUCCACCUUUGUAUGCUUAGGAUGCGAGAUCCUAUAUAAAGCUGCAGGACUGCAUAGCAGAAGAGCAAACGAGCAGGAGAAGAAAGGAGCCACAUUCAUCGUACACAUCUACUGCAGCAAAGCUUGAAGGCUCCAGAGACCACCACUUUUUUCACCAUCAUGAAGCUUCUUUCUCUCUACCUUUUUGCUCUCCUGGCAGCUACAGCAAUACUACACCGCUCAAGAGCUCAAGACCCACCACCACAACCGUCCUUAACCUGUCAUAAAGCUGGCACAGGAACUACCUCUUGUGCCUCUGGCAAAUGCUUUGCACAGACAUUAGAAAGUACCGUGGUAGGUGUGUCGACAGACAAAGUCAACUUACAAGACUGUGGUUUAUCAUGCGAAGGACUCGAAAUACAACUCACAUUUACCAAAAAAAAAUAUUUAAGAGCAUCUACCGUAUGCUGUACAACGAGCCAGUGCAAUACUCCU
This is a non-coding RNA of Python bivittatus (Burmese python), 577 nucleotides long. Lineage: Eukaryota; Metazoa; Chordata; Lepidosauria; Squamata; Pythonidae. The record is from RefSeq and is a predicted model, not a curated record.